RNAcentral lists this ribosomal RNA (172 nucleotides) under uncultured bacterium. RNAcentral describes it as "partial 16S ribosomal RNA". It matches the Rfam family "Bacterial small subunit ribosomal RNA", at positions 1320 to 1500 of the family's 1533-position model. The record is from RNAcentral.
AUGAAGCUGGAUUCGCUAGUAAUCGCGCAUCAGCCACGGCGCGGUGAAUACUUCCCGGGCCUUGUACACACCGCCCGUCAAGCCAUGGAAGCCGGGAGUGCCUGAAGUACGCGACCGCAAGGAGCGUCCUAAGGUAAAACCGGUGACUGGGGCUAAGUCGUAACAAGGUAGC